Cricetulus griseus (Chinese hamster) is the source of this 110-nucleotide small nuclear RNA. The record is from Ensembl. NCBI's taxonomy places the organism in Eukaryota, Metazoa, Chordata, Mammalia, Rodentia, Cricetidae.
UUUCUCACUUUGGUAGCAUAUAUACUAAAAAUAAGAAUGACACAGAGGAGAUUAGCAUACCCCCUGUCCAGAGAUGACAUGAAAUCUAUCAAGUGGUACAUACAUUUUUC